Molecule: ribosomal RNA, 253 nt
Filed under: uncultured bacterium
Lineage: Bacteria
Description: partial 16S ribosomal RNA
Rfam family: Bacterial small subunit ribosomal RNA
Source: RNAcentral
UGCGGGGGGGGCAAGCGUUGUUCGGAAUUACUGGGCGUAAAGGGCUCGUAGGCGGCCAACUAAGUCAGACGUGAAAUCCCCAGGCUUAACCUGGGAACUGCGUCUGAUACUGGAUGGCUUGAAUUCGGGAGAGGGAUGCAGAAUUCCAGGUGUAGCGGUGAAAUGCGUAGAUAUCUGGAGGAAUACCGGUGGCGAAGGCGGCAUCCUGGACCGACAUUGACGCUGAGGAGCGAAAGCUAGGGGAGCAAACGGG